AAAGAGAGAGAGAGAGAGUAGGAAGAGAGAGGCUCGAGUGGCGAGAGAGAGAGGAAUAGAAAGAAGAGAGAAAGAUACUGGAGUGGUAGAGAGAGAGAGUGUAGAAUGCUGUAGCAGGAGAGAGGGGAAGAGAGGAAUAAAAAGAAGGGAGAAGGAGAGAGAGACGAGUGUUAGGAGAGAGGGAGGGACAGAGGGAAAGAAAGAAGAGAGAGAGACAGACUCGAGUGGCAGGAGAAAGAGAGAGAGAGGGAAAGAAGAGAGAGAGAGAGAGAGUCGAAUAGCAGGAGAGAGAGGGAGAGAGGAAUAGAAAGAAGAGAGAGAGAGAUACAGACGCACAGCUGCCGCUGCCUCCGCCCGAGCGCUCGGGUCUCCUUGCUGCUCCCGCCGCCGCCGGAUGGAAGAAACGGCCGCCGGCGCUCGCCCCUUCUCCAGCCCCUUCGCCUCCUUGCCCCCUGCUCCUCGCGAGUAAAUCCCCGGAGGGCGAGGAAGGAAGCACGUGGAUUGCUAAAACGGGGCAAGAUUGAAGAAGCAGAAGGAGGAGAACCAGCAACAGCGGCAGAAGAAGGAGCCGCCUCGCCGGCUGCAACCGGGACUCGGAGCCAGCUUCCCCGCUGCCUGACUUAGGGGACCCCCCCCUCUCCCUCCCCGCUCUACCGGGGCGGAGGGAGCGUAGAAGGCGGGACACCCCCCCCUUCCACCCCCCACCCACCCAGCCAGCGCCGGCCGUAAGGCUCUCCAAUGCCAUCGCGGGCGCAGAGCCGGGCAGAGAGAUGGGGAAACUUCACUCCAAGCACGCUGCUGCUUGCAAACCUCGAGAGAACCCCGAAGGUGAUAGCUUCGCCGUGAACGCCUCGCUGGCGCGGAAGGGGCUGGAGGAAUGGUCGGUGAACCCCAAAAGCAACGGGGGCGACGGCGACUUGGGAAUCCUGCAAGGCUGCCCCCACCGGGCGUUUGGCAAGUGCUCCGGUCC
Molecule: long non-coding RNA, 970 nt
Organism: Ahaetulla prasina
Lineage: Eukaryota; Metazoa; Chordata; Lepidosauria; Squamata; Colubridae
Exons: 3
Source: RefSeq, a predicted model, not a curated record